Molecule: long non-coding RNA, 1074 nt
Organism: Tripterygium wilfordii
Lineage: Eukaryota; Viridiplantae; Streptophyta; Magnoliopsida; Celastrales; Celastraceae
Exons: 2
Source: RefSeq, a predicted model, not a curated record
CAUAUAUUGAAGGCUAUAUAUUAGUCAUAUGAAAAUCACAUGCUUCCUUCCCUUGAUGAUGUCCUGAUUAAAGUGACGGCAGCGCUGAAUCUUUCACUUUUCAACAAGUUGCCUUAUUCACGAAGAUGGGCCUUUCUCAUUGCCUCAUCGGUUUGUGUAGGCAGUCAGGCUUCUACAUGUUUGGAGGAGAUGGUUCCAGCACAUGAUCUGUUCAGAAUUCCCCAUUUAUGCACCUUCGAAGGUAGGUUGAGAAUUCAUGUCUGUGAUCUGAAUGUUGACUAUACCGAUGAUGCUUUGGAUGCUUGGAGUUGACAUCUUGUGUGCUUUUGUUCAUCUCAGGUGAGUCUCAAUGUUGUUGUGUUGUUGUCAUUGGAUGCAUUUACUGUGUCUUUUGGAAUUUUGCAGGACUGAUAUGCUUCUUUGGUUAGAAGGAGGUAUGUUUGUUAUCGUUCCUGCAUGAUGAUUUCUUUCCUCCCUGUUUUGAAAUCAACAUUAUACACACACAAUAAAUCUAAGAGCUGGUACAGAUGAUGGAAAUUAAGCUUCGCAAGAAACCGAUUCUGCAAAAAUUGUUUCAAGUAAUUUCAUCCUUGCUCAUUCAAAUGAUUGACCAAUUAUAUUCGUUCAAUGCAUUUCGUAUAUCCUGAAAUUUUGUGAAAAGAUGACAAAAAUGAGAUCUCUAUGCUGUAAAAAGGAGUUAGAUGAAUUUUCGACUUUCUUCUGCAAAAAGGUUUUGUUCCUGGACUUUCAUAAUGGAUCAUUAAAAUCUGUUAUUUCUUUUCUUUGCUUUUGCAGAAGAUCAAUUCAUUUUUUCCAGCAAAUGUGAAGCCAUGGGAAUUUCAAGUAUUGUGAGGGUAGAAGAUUUUGAUGACAGCUAACUUUAUCUUUGUAACUUUGUAUAUUAUAUCAAGAUGAUUCACAUAUCGAUCCAAAAAUCUCUAAACUUGCCCCUCACUAACCUCUUUUACAUGUCUUCACUUCAGGACAAAUUUUGGUUUUGAUUUCUUUAUCAAAGAAGCAGGUCUUCAGCUGAAGCAAUGAACUUUUAAAAUAAUAAUUUCUUAGUUUUAAUUG